This 404-nucleotide ribosomal RNA is filed under the name uncultured bacterium. Its description in RNAcentral is "bacterial SSU rRNA". It matches the Rfam family "Bacterial small subunit ribosomal RNA", at positions 30 to 429 of the family's 1533-position model. The record is from RNAcentral.
AUUGAACGCUGGCGGCAUGCCUUACACAUGCAAGUCGAACGGCAGCACGGGAGCAAUCCUGGUGGCGAGUGGCGAACGGGUGAGUAAUAUAUCGGAACGUGCCCAGUCGUGGGGGAUAACGUAGCGAAAGCUACGCUAAUACCGCAUACGAUCUAUGGAUGAAAGCGGGGGAGUCGCAAGACCUCGCGCGAUUGGAGCGGCCGAUAUCAGAUUAGGUAGUUGGUGAGGUAAAGGCGUCACCAAGCCGACGAUCUGUAGCUGGUCUGAGAGGACGACCAGCCACACUGGGACUGAGACACGGCCCAGACUCCUACGGGAGGCAGCAGUGGGGAAUUUUGGACAAUGGGCGCAAGCCUGAUCCAGCAAUGCCGCGUGCAGGAUGAAGGCCUUCGGGUUUAGGUAAA